UGAUGAUCGCAAAACGGCGUAGUAUGAAGCUCUCAUGUUGUUCAUGCAUCUAAGUGGUUGCCUCGCAAUGAUGUCUCUGCCAGAUUCUCCGCAGUUCCCUUACGCAUCUCUGGGUUUUGCUCUGCGGUUCAUGUUUUUUUCUCUGGACACACACAACCUAGAUUUCUUCCCUUGGUUGGAGUCGCUGAAAGCCGGAAUGGAAAUUUCUGGGUCUGGAUCGGGCAGGUGGGGGAAGAGCAGGGUAUGGGCAUGUAAGAGGUAGAUCGAGUUGGGUAGGCGGGUGUUUUGUUGCGUUGAAGCUAGCCAGGAGAGGUCGCUCCCUGCGGUAGCAGCCCGACAGUGAGUUAGACCGUGACCAUGGUUGUGUCUGCAGCUUCUGGCGAUUAGUUGUCAACGACAACCAUGUUUUGCUACAGAAAUAACUCAAGAAAUCAAUUUUCAGACCCACCAAAGAAACCAGGUGAAAAAUAGACAAAAGCAAGCUGCAUCUGUUCAAUACCAGCAUCAUAUUACUAAAUUUGAUUAGAAUAAGAAUAAUCACACCAGGAAACGUGAGUCACGAACACAUCUCAACAAAAGUUAUGGCCAGCGGCGGCAUGGUUGUGGCCAACUGUGAGGAGGAGAGGAGGAGCUGGAGCAGGAUGGUGUCGAUGAUGGAGCCAGUCGUUUGCCGAAAGCCUCGCAGAUGGGGCAUCUUGAAUCCAUCCAUCAAAAGCUGUGCUCUUAAGUAUGUUUUUGUCUCACUCACUUCAAUCUCUCUGAAUAUAGUUGCGAUACUUUUGAUUUUGUCCUUUUAUUAGCUACAAAUCCAGUCAACAGGUAGAUAUCGGUGAUGCAAAAGCGGGGUCAGAGCUGCUGGAUAUCAUUUUAACUAAGCAAAUGCAUUCAUGGCUCCCUGGAAGAUCAUGGGAUUGUACUUCUAUGAUUGCUUUUGAGUUCUAAAGGUUUCCCGCCAUGAUGUCCUUUAAUAGGCUGAAGAGCUUCAUGAUGAAAGGCCAGAUCUUGGAGAUGAUUCUGACAGUGACAAGGACAAUCAAGAUGAGGGUAAUGUGGAAGGAGACUUUUCCAAACUCACAGGGAGGCAGACAAAAUUAUUUGAGUCGAGGCUUAAAGAUGGUUUCUUCACUUUGUGGAGAGAAUUCAGCUGCUGUUGGGCGUCUAUGCUUUGUCUUCCACCUUUGGUGGGUCAAAAAUUCAACUUAAUUCAUGACAUUUGUUUCUGCAUCUGUCUUUUGACACAAAGUUGGUCAUCUUUUCAUUUGUUUGGUGCCGCGGGAGAUAGAGGAUGGUGGCCUAUAAGAGGAGGCGUGGAGCAAAUCGACAAAGCCCUUAGCCAGAAGAGCUACCACUGCAAUCCUCUUAUGGUCAAUGACUUCCUUGAGAACAUAGGCCGUUGCAAAGCUGAAUCCCGGUGUAGCAGCAGUGAUUUGAGAUUUUCCGAUCUUGCUCACGAAGGGUUAAUUAUCUCCUCUCUCUUUGAGUUCUUUGCUUUAGUAGCUUUGAAUUCAUUUGUGGUUUACAAUUUUUUAUUUUUAUUCAGGAAAACUUGAGGUGGAAUUUCCGUAUAUGUUUUCCUUGUCAUUUUUGUUUAUCUUUUACGGUUGGUUAUUUUUCAAUCAUUGUUAUCAUGCAAUCGCCGACUUUAGAAGAUUCUGUGAACGGUUGUUCGUGUGGUUCGUGGCUGAAUUUGGAAUCGUUUUGUUCUCUCUUACAGUGAUGUAUUGUGCCAAACUUUGUGCUAUCGAUUUUAUUUUGUUUCAUGGUGUUGCCUA
RNA transcript from Tripterygium wilfordii, 1772 nucleotides. RefSeq lists it as uncharacterized. The record is from RefSeq and is a predicted model, not a curated record. The transcript is spliced from 4 exons. Lineage: Eukaryota; Viridiplantae; Streptophyta; Magnoliopsida; Celastrales; Celastraceae.